RNAcentral lists this long non-coding RNA (227 nucleotides) under Amborella trichopoda. RNAcentral's name for it is "long non-coding RNA (ATRI_LNC001451)". The record is from RNAcentral. Lineage: Eukaryota; Viridiplantae; Streptophyta; Magnoliopsida; Amborellales; Amborellaceae.
GUAUAAUUAAUAGAAGAUUUUUACCAUUGAAGUUUUUUUUUUUUAAGCAUAAAACACAAGAGUAACUCAAACCCAUAUUCAACAUCGAACUCAAAAGACUUUCAAACUCAUAUUCAACAUUGAACUCAAAAACCCAUUAAAAUCGAAGAGAAAAACUCAAACUUACGUUUGAAAUCAAACCAAACUCAUAUUCAACAUUGAGCUAAAAAACCCUUUAAAAUCCAAGA